CCUACGGGUGGCAGCAGUGGGGAAUAUUGCACAAUGGGCGCAAGCCUGAUGCAGCCAUGCCGCGUGUAUGAAGAAGGCCUUAGGGUUGUAAAGUACUUUCAGUUGGGAGGUAGGCGUUGAUGCUAAUAUCAUCAACGAUUGACGUUACCAACAGAAGAAGCACCGGCUAACUCCGUGCCAGCAGCCGCGGUAAUACGGAGGGUGCAAGCGUUAAUCGGGAUUACUGGGCGUAAAGCGCACGCAGGCGGUUGAUUAAGUUAGAUGUGAAAUCCCCGGGCUUAACCUGGGAAUGGCAUCUAAGACUGGUCAGCUAGAGUCUUGUAGAGGGGGGUAGAAUUCCAUGUGUAGCGGUGAAAUGCGCAGAGAUGUGGAGGAAUACCGGUGGCGAAGGCGGCCCCCCGGACAAAGACUGACACUCAGGUGCGAAAGCGUGGGGAGCAAACAGGAUUAGAUACCCUUGUAGUC
Molecule: ribosomal RNA, 465 nt
Filed under: uncultured bacterium
Lineage: Bacteria
Description: bacterial SSU rRNA
Rfam family: Bacterial small subunit ribosomal RNA
Source: RNAcentral